RNAcentral lists this transfer RNA (89 nucleotides) under Curtobacterium sp. MCJR17_043. RNAcentral's name for it is "tRNA-Leu". It matches the Rfam family "tRNA". From Rfam's summary of the family: Transfer RNA (tRNA) molecules are approximately 80 nucleotides in length. The record is from RNAcentral. Lineage: Bacteria; Bacillati; Actinomycetota; Actinomycetes; Micrococcales; Microbacteriaceae.
GCGCGAGUGGCGGAAUUGGUAGACGCGCACGGUUCAGGUCCGUGUGCUGGAAACGGCGUGGGGGGUUCAAGUCCCCCCCUCGCGCACCA